RNA transcript from Gossypium raimondii (Peruvian cotton), 1687 nucleotides. RefSeq lists it as uncharacterized. NCBI's taxonomy places the organism in Eukaryota, Viridiplantae, Streptophyta, Magnoliopsida, Malvales, Malvaceae. The transcript is spliced from 4 exons. The record is from RefSeq and is a predicted model, not a curated record.
AUUUUGAUAAUUUACCUUAGCCUAUUAAACACUAAAACACGUUACCAACAUCGGACGCUCUCCAGCCAACAAACAUUAUCAAUGUACAAAGAAACAAUGAUCGGAGACGUAGAGAAAAUGUUGGCGGUAGGCCUGAUCUGGGGCGCCACUAACGCCGCAAUGCGCCGUGGCGCACUCCUUUGGGACCGAUAUCUCAAGUCCACUCCAAACUCAGGCGACCCACCUCGCAAAUUCGACCAAAAGCUCCUCAAUUCCUUAUCCAAUUGGCUAACCCUCCUUUUGUUUUGGCAAUAUUCGAUCCCUUUCUUCAUCAACCUCUCCGCCUCCGCCACCUUUUUCGCUAUCUUAGGCCAGGCUCCGAUUUCGCUCGCCGUCCCCGUCACCAACGCGACCACGUUUGCUGCCACCGCCGUUUUUGGAAUCCUAUUGGGUGAGGAGACCCGGAUCGGUCAUGCUCUGUUGGGGGAAGUCCACCAGUUAGCUGGGGAUUUGGUGGCACAUUGAUUGAUACUCACUGGCCCAUCCCACUUGCAAGCUCUUGCCCUGAACCUGUGGAAUCGGGCAAUGAAAGGUGAACUGUUCCAGUCAAUCUUGACUAGCCCACCUCUUGUUGCCCAAUUGUCCGCAUUCCAUAAACUGGCAUGUACCCUCAUGCCCUGCUUGUUCGGAAAGGCAAUGCCGUCCUUCUCAUAGUUUCUGAAAACACGGAUUGGCAGGUUGUCGAUGUACCACCUGAAACGAUCAAGUAUUUUUUCUUAGUUUCAUGAGAACAGUGAAAUGCCUUGAGACUUGUAAUUGCACAUUUUGAUUGCCUUGGAAUUCACUGAUAAAUUGACAACAGACGAAAAAUAGCCUGCAUUUGCUAUAUGCUUGAGCUAUAUUUAUAAUGAAUAUAUUUGGAGAAAAGACACAUGAUAUUCUAGCAUAACUGAAGGGGAGCUAACUUACACAACUUCAGUGGGAUUCCAGUGUAUGGUGUAGUUGUGGAAAUCGGCAGUCUGGUCAAACCACAGGACGAAAGGCCACUGAAUAUGAAGCUUUGCCAACGACAAUCAAAGGUGAUGUUUGUUAGAAAUGUUAGCUUUACACACUAUUGCACUUACAUAGUAGGCUGUGACUGUUCCAGCUGAGUUUCCAGGUACCAACUUGAUUAGCAUUUCAAUGCUUCCAAAUAAGAAUGACCUUUUCGAUUUAACAUCAGAACCUGAAAAAAUAUGCAGCAUUAUAAUGUCGAAGGAUUAAAUAAUGUGUUUUGAAUUUAAUAUUUGUGUCUUUGCAUUAGCCAAACGAGUCAUUUAAUCAAGCGCUUAUCGCAAGGUUACCUGAAGUUUGAUCCAACACAAGUUGGAGGUCUUCACCAUUGCCUGCAAAACUUGAAUGAUGGGCACCCCAGUUUAUGUACAUGCUCUUGGGAAAAUUUGCUUCAACAAAACUCUGAUCAACUACUACUGCAAUGAUGAAAAGAGCCAAAAGCAAAGCUUUUAAGCUAGGCAUUUUUGAUUGCAUUGAAGAAGCUGGCUCGGGUAUUUGUUAGUCAAUGCCGUUGAAAAGGGAUGAUUUUCUUCAUUGUUCUGGACGGCUUUAUAUAAAGCAAGUUCCAGCAAAUGUGCCUUACUCAGACUGAACCUUGUGUUAUAAUUUUUUUUAAAAGAAAAAUAAAAUAAAACUUGAAAUAUGUUGAACUGAA